GACGAACGCUGGCGGCGUGCCUAAUACAUGCAAGUCGAGCGGACGAAUCGAAAGCUUGCUUUUGAUUCGUUAGCGGCGGACGGGUGAGUAACACGUGGGCAACCUGCCCUGUAGACGGGGAUAACACCGAGAAAUCGGUGCUAAUACCGGAUAACACGAAAUGUCGCAUGACGUUUCGUUGAAAGACGGCGCAAGCUGUCGCUACAGGAUGGGCCCGCGGCGCAUUAGCUAGUUGGUGAGGUAACGGCUCACCAAGGCGACGAUGCGUAGCCGACCUGAGAGGGUGAUCGGCCACACUGGGACUGAGACACGGCCCAGACUCCUACGGGAGGCAGCAGUAGGGAAUCUUCCGCAAUGGACGAAAGUCUGACGGAGCAACGCCGCGUGAGCGAAGAAGGCCUUAGGGUCGUAAAGCUCUGUUGUUAGGGAAGAACAAGUAACGCAGUAACUGGCGUUACCGUGACGGUACCUAACGAGAAAGCCACGGCUAACUACGUG
This 498-nucleotide ribosomal RNA is filed under the name uncultured bacterium. RNAcentral's name for it is "partial 16S ribosomal RNA". It matches the Rfam family "Bacterial small subunit ribosomal RNA", at positions 28 to 507 of the family's 1533-position model. The record is from RNAcentral.